Molecule: ribosomal RNA, 427 nt
Filed under: uncultured bacterium
Lineage: Bacteria
Description: bacterial SSU rRNA
Rfam family: Bacterial small subunit ribosomal RNA
Source: RNAcentral
UAGGGAAUAUUGGACAAUGGGGGCAACCCUGAUCCAGCCAUGCCGCGUGAGUGAAGAAGGCCCUCGGGUUGUAAAGCUCUUUUGUCCGGGAAGAAAAGCUUCGGGUUAAUACCCCGGGGUUCUGACGGUACCGGAAGAAUAAGCACCGGCUAACUUCGUGCCAGCAGCCGCGGUAAUACGAAGGGUGCAAGCGUUACUCGGAAUUACUGGGCGUAAAGCGUGCGUAGGUGGUUGUUUAAGUCUGAUGUGAAAGCCCUGGGCUCAACCUGGGAAUGGCAUUGGNAACUGGGCAGCUAGAGUGCGGUAGAGGGUAGUGGAAUUCCCGGUGUAGCAGUGAAAUGCGUAGAGAUCGGGAGGAACAUCUGUGGCGAAGGCGACUGCCUGGACCAGCACUGACACUGAGGCACGAAAGCGUGGGGAGCAAACA